RNAcentral lists this ribosomal RNA (253 nucleotides) under uncultured bacterium. Its description in RNAcentral is "partial 16S ribosomal RNA". It matches the Rfam family "Bacterial small subunit ribosomal RNA", at positions 524 to 776 of the family's 1533-position model. The record is from RNAcentral.
UACGUAGGCAGCAAGCGUUGUUCGGAGUUACUGGGCGUAAAGAGUGCGUAGGCGGUCCUAUAAGUUCCGUGUGAAAUCUCCCGGCUCAACUGGGAGGGUGCGCGGAAGACUGUAGGGCUUGAGUGUGGGAGAGGUAAGCGGAAUUCCGGGUGUAGCGGUGGAAUGCGUAGAGAUCCGGAGGAAGACCGGUGGCGAAGGCGGUCUGCUGGGCAGUUUCUGACACUGAUGCGCGACAGCGUGGGGAGCAAACAGG